AAAUCGGUCCUUUUAAGGAUCACUAAAAAAUAUAAAAAGAGAUUUU
Non-coding RNA from Lucilia cuprina (Australian sheep blowfly), 46 nucleotides. The record is from Rfam. NCBI's taxonomy places the organism in Eukaryota, Metazoa, Arthropoda, Insecta, Diptera, Calliphoridae.